AUUGAACGCUGGCGGCAUGCUUUACACAUGCAAGUCGAACGGUAACAGGCCGCAAGGUGCUGACGAGUGGCGGACGGGUGAGUAAUGCAUCGGAACGUGCCCAGUCGUGGGGGAUAACUACUCUAAAGAGUAGCUAAUACCGCAUACGAUCUAUGGAUGAAAGCGGGGGACCGUAAGGCCUCGCGCGAUUGGAGCGGCCGAUGUCAGAUUAGGUAGGUGGUGGGGUAAAGGCUCACCAAGCCAACGAUCUGUAGCUGGUCUGAGAGGACGACCAGCCACACUGGGACUGAGACACGGCCCAGACUCCUACGGGAGGCAGCAGUGGGGAAUUUUGGACAAUGGGCGCAAGCCUGAUCCAGCAAUGCCGCGUGCAGGAAGAAGGCCUUCGGGUUGUAAACUGCUUUUGUACGGAACGAAACGGCUCUGGUUAAUACCCGGGGCUAAUGACGGUACCGGAAGAAUAAGCACCGGCUAACUACGUG
RNAcentral lists this ribosomal RNA (482 nucleotides) under uncultured bacterium. Its description in RNAcentral is "partial 16S ribosomal RNA". It matches the Rfam family "Bacterial small subunit ribosomal RNA", at positions 30 to 507 of the family's 1533-position model. The record is from RNAcentral.